GACGAACGCUGGCGGCGUGCCUAAUACAUGCAAGUAGAACGCUGAAGAGAGGAGCUUGCUCUUCUUGGAUGAGUUGCGAACGGGUGAGUAACGCGUAGGUAACCUGCCUUGUAGCGGGGGAUAACUAUUGGAAACGAUAGCUAAUACCGCAUAACAAUGGAUGACACAUGUCAUUUAUUUGAAAGGGGCAAUUGCUCCACUACAAGAUGGACCUGCGUUGUAUUAGCUAGUAGGUGAGGUAAUGGCUCACCUAGGCGACGAUACAUAGCCGACCUGAUAGGGUGAUCGGCCACACUGGGACUGACACACGGCCCAGACUCCUACGGGAGGCAGCAGUACGGAAUCUUCGGCAAUGGGGGCAACCCUGACCGAGCAACGCCGCGUGAGUGAAAAAGGUUUUCGGAUCUCAAAGCUCUGUUGAAAGUCAAGAACGGGUGUGAGAGUGGACAGUUCACACUGUGACGGUUGCUUACCAGAAAGGGACGGCUAACUACGUGCCAGCAGCCGCGGUAAUACCAAUGUCCCGAGCAUUGUCCGGAUUUAUUGGGCGUAAAGCGAGCGCAGGCGGUUUGAUAAGUCUGAAGUUAAGGCUGUGGCUCAACCAUAGUUCGCUUUGGAAACUGUCAAACUUGAGUGCAGAAGGGGAGAGUGGAAUUCCAUGUGUAGCGGUGAAAUGCGUAGAUAUAUGGAGGAACACCGGUGGCGAAAGCGGCUCUCUGGUCUGUAACUGACGCUGAGGCUCGAAAGCGUGGGGAGCGAACAGGAUUAGAUACCCUGGUAGUCCACGCCGUAAACGAUGAGUGCUAGGUGUUGGAUCCUUUCCGGGAUUCAGUGCCGCAGCUAACGCAUUAAGCACUCCGCCUGGGGAGUACGACCGCAAGGUUGAAACUCAAAGGAAUUGACGGGGGCCCGCACAAGCGGUGGAGCAUGUGGUUUAAUUCGAAGCAACGCGAAGAACCUUACCAGGUCUUGACAUCCCGAUGCUAUUUCUAGAGAUAGAAAGUUACUUCGGUACAUCGGUGACAGGUGGUGCAUGGUUGUCGUCAGCUCGUGUCGUGAGAUGUUGGGUUAAGUCCCGCAACGAGCGCAACCCCUAUUGUUAGUUGCCAUCAUUCAGUUGGGCACUCUAGCGAGACUGCCGGUAAUAAACCGGAGGAAGGUGGGGAUGACGUCAAAUCAUCAUGCCCCUUAUGACCUGGGCUACACACGUGCUACAAUGGUUGGUACAACGAGUUGCGAGUCGGUGACGGCGAGCUAAUCUCUUAAAGCCAAUCUCAGUUCGGAUUGUAGGCUGCAACUCGCCUACAUGAAGUCGGAAUCGCUAGUAAUCGCGGAUCAGCACGCCGCGGUGAAUACGUUCCCGGGCCU
RNAcentral lists this ribosomal RNA (1368 nucleotides) under uncultured bacterium. RNAcentral describes it as "bacterial SSU rRNA". It matches the Rfam family "Bacterial small subunit ribosomal RNA", at positions 28 to 1381 of the family's 1533-position model. The record is from RNAcentral.